UACGUAGGGUGCGAGCGUUAAUCGGAAUUACUGGGCGUAAAGUGUGCGUAGGCGGUUCCUCAAGUCCGUUGUGAAAGCCCCGGGCUCAACCUGGGAAUGGCAGUGGAAACUAGGGGACUGGAAUCUGGCAGAGGGGGGUGGAAUGCCGCGUGUAGCAGUGAAAUGCGUAGAGAUGCGGCGGAACACCGAUGGCGAAGGCAGCCCCCUGGGCUGAGAUUGACGCUCAGGCACGAAAGCGUGGGGAGCAAACAGG
Molecule: ribosomal RNA, 253 nt
Filed under: uncultured bacterium
Lineage: Bacteria
Description: partial 16S ribosomal RNA
Rfam family: Bacterial small subunit ribosomal RNA
Source: RNAcentral